UAUACAAUGUAUUCAUGAUAUAUUACCAGGUAUUUGUAUAGCAAGAAUAAAUGUAUGAUCGAUGAUGGGAGAGAAAUUAUCAUAUCCUUUUUUUUCCUGACUUUUUAAUACUACCGGUUGUAAAAACAUUUGAAGGGUUUGAAAAGGAAUAAAAAGUUUUUAAAACCGUGUAAGCAAUUUUUUUUUACCAGAAAAAAUAUGUUUCUUAAUCAAGCUUUAGGCAUAAAUGUCCCCUAGUUUAUUAUUGAAGCUUUAUGUAUAAAUGUCCAAUCGUUUAUUAUUGAAGCUUUAGGUAUAAAUGUCCAAUCGUUUAUUAUUGAAGCUUCAACUAGGUGAAGCACCAACAUAGGGUAGCUUGUACCAUCCUGUGUCGCUAGAAUGAGUCGACUAAAGGUAACAAGUACUUCCAUAGACUCCGAUAUAGAUAGGUGAGGCACCAAUGAUAGGGUAGCUUGCACCAUCCUGUGUCGCUAGAAUGGCUAAAGGUAACAAGUACUUACAUAGACUCCGAUAUAGAUAGGUGAGGCACCAAUGAUAGGGUAGCUUGUACCAUCCUGUGUCGCUAGAAUGGCUAAAGGUAACAUGUACUUACAUAGACUCCGAUAUAGAUAGGUGAGGCACCAAUGAUAGGGUAGCUUGUACCAUCCUGUGUCGCUAGAAUGGCUAAAGGUAACAUGUACUUACAUAGACUCCGAUAUAAAUAGGUGAAGCACCAAUGAUAGGGUAGCUUGCACCAUCCUGUGUCGCUAGAAUGGCUAAAGGUAACAAGUACUUACAUAGACUCCGAUAUAGAUAGGUGAGGCACCAAUGAUAGGGUAGCUUGUACCAUCCUGUGUCGCUAGAAUGGCUAAAGGUAACAUGUACUUACAUAGACUCCGAUAUAGAUAGGUGAGGCACCAAUGAUAGGGUAGCUUGUACCAUCCUGUGUCGCUAGAAUGGCUAAAGGUAACAUGUACUUACAUAGACUCCGAUAUAGAUAGGUGAGGCACCAAUGAUAGGGUAGCUUGUACCAUCCUGUGUCGCUAGAAUGGCUAAAGGUAACAUGUACUUACAUAGACUCCGAUAUAGAUAGGUGAGGCACCAAUGAUAGGGUAGCUUGUACCAUCCUGUGUCGCUAGAAUGGCUAAAGGUAACAAGUACUUACAUAGACUCCGAUAUAGAUAGGUGAAGCACCAAUGAUAGGGUAGCUUGCACCAUCCUGUGUCGCUAGAAUGGCUAAAGGUAACAAGUACUUACAUAGACUCCGAUAUAGAUAGGUGAGGCACCAAUGAUAGGGUAGCUUGUACCAUCCUGUGUCGCUAGAAUGGCUAAAGGUAACAAGUACUUACAUAGACUCCGAUAUAGAUAGGUGAAGCACCAAU
Molecule: long non-coding RNA, 1361 nt
Organism: Mytilus californianus (California mussel)
Lineage: Eukaryota; Metazoa; Mollusca; Bivalvia; Mytilida; Mytilidae
Exons: 7
Source: RefSeq, a predicted model, not a curated record